GACGAACGCUGGCGGCGUGCUUAACACAUGCAAGUCGAACGGAAAGGCCCUGCUUUUGUGGGGUGCUUGAGUGGCGAACGGGUGAGUAACACGUGAGUAACCUGCCCUUGACUUUGGGAUAACUUCAGGAAACUGGGGCUAAUACCGGAUAGGAGCUCCUGCUGCAUGGUGGGGGUUGGAAAGUUUCGGCGGUUGGGGAUGGACUCGCGGCUUAUCAGCUUGUUGGUGGGGUAGUGGCUUACCAAGGCUUUGACGGGUAGCCGGCCUGAGAGGGUGACCGGCCACCUUGGGACUGAGAUACGGCCCAGACUCCUACGUGAGGCAGCAGUGGGGAAUAUUGCACAAUGGGCGGAAGCCUGAUGCAGCAACGCCGCGUGCGGGAUGACGGCCUUCGGGUUGUAAACCGCUUUCGCCUGUGACGAAGCGUGAGUGACGGUAAUGGGUAAAGAAGCACCGGCUAACUACGUG
RNAcentral lists this ribosomal RNA (468 nucleotides) under uncultured bacterium. Its description in RNAcentral is "partial 16S ribosomal RNA". It matches the Rfam family "Bacterial small subunit ribosomal RNA", at positions 28 to 507 of the family's 1533-position model. The record is from RNAcentral.